Molecule: signal recognition particle RNA, 96 nt
Filed under: Salmonella enterica subsp. enterica
Lineage: Bacteria; Pseudomonadati; Pseudomonadota; Gammaproteobacteria; Enterobacterales; Enterobacteriaceae
Description: signal recognition particle sRNA small type
Rfam family: Bacterial small signal recognition particle RNA
About the family: The signal recognition particle (SRP) is a universally conserved ribonucleoprotein involved in the co-translational targeting of proteins to membranes. Archaeal SRP consists of a 7S RNA and homologues of the eukaryotic SRP19 and SRP54 proteins.
Source: RNAcentral
UGUUGGUUCUCCCGCAACGCCACUCUGCUUACCGUGUCAGGUCCGGAAGGAAGCAGCCAGGCAGAUGACGCGUGCCGGGAUGUGUAGUUGGCAGGG